AACUGGGCUAGACUGGAGGGUCAGGGGUCCUCUGUAAGCGCACAUCCCCUAUACGGUGCAGUCGAAGUUCAAGGGGCGGCAGUUUAACUGGGUGUUGGCCCAGGAUCUCAACGUAGAAACCUCGUCCCGCAGGAUUAGUGGUGGCAGAGUUCUGGCUGGAGGGCCAGGAUAAACUGUCUUAACUAAGGGAACGGGUCAGGUCUGGAAAGAAGCAGCUCUACCUUAGACAGCUGAUGCUUGUGGAGCAACGGGGCGGAGUUGGAAUUCUGGAUCACCAGCAUUCACGAGGGCUGUCCACCCUUGAACACGCCCAUUU
RNAcentral lists this signal recognition particle RNA (316 nucleotides) under Methanobacterium sp. BAmetb5. RNAcentral's name for it is "signal recognition particle sRNA". It matches the Rfam family "Archaeal signal recognition particle RNA". The record is from RNAcentral. Lineage: Archaea; Methanobacteriati; Methanobacteriota; Methanobacteria; Methanobacteriales; Methanobacteriaceae.